ACGCACGCUGGCGGCGUGCUUAACACAUGCAAGUCGAACGGAAAGGCCCUGCUUUUGUGGGGUGCUCGAGUGGCGAACGGGUGAGUAACACGUGAGUAACCUGCCCUUGACUUUGGGAUAACUUCAGGAAACUGGGGCUAAUACCGGAUAGGAGCUCCUGCUGCAUGGUGGGGGUUGGAAAGUUUCGGCGGUUGGGGAUGGACUCGCGGCUUAUCAGCUUGUUGGUGGGGUAGUGGCUUACCAAGGCUUUGACGGGUAGCCGGCCUGAGAGGGUGACCGGCCACAUUGGGACUGAGAAACGGCCCAGACUCCUACGGGAGGCAGCAGUGGGGAAUAUUGCACAAUGGGCGGAAGCCUGAUGCAGCAACGCCGCGUGCGGGAUGACGGCCUUCGGGUUGUAAACCGCUUUCGCCUGUGACGAAGCGUGAGUGACGGUAAUGGGUAAAGAAGCACCGGCUAACUACGUG
RNAcentral lists this ribosomal RNA (467 nucleotides) under uncultured bacterium. RNAcentral's name for it is "partial 16S ribosomal RNA". It matches the Rfam family "Bacterial small subunit ribosomal RNA", at positions 29 to 507 of the family's 1533-position model. The record is from RNAcentral.